GUUAGUUACACUGUGAACAGGUUACUAUGUAACAUGUUAGUUACACGGUGAACCGGCUACUAUGUAACAUCUUAGUUACACAGUGAACCGGCUACUAUGUAACAUGUUAGUUACACGGUGAACCGGUUACUAUGUAACAUCUUAGUUACACGGUGAACAGGUUACUAUGUAACAUGUUAGUUACACGGUGAACCGGCUACUAUGUAACAUCUUAGUUACACAGUGAACCGGCUACUAUGUAACAUGUUAGUUACACGGUGAACCGGUUACUAUGUAACAUGUUAGUUACACAGUGAAACGGUUAAUAAGUAACAUGUUAGUUACACUGUGAACAGGUUACUAUGUAACAUGUUAGUUACACGGUGAACCGGCUACUAUGUAACAUCUUAGUUACACAGUGAACCGGCUACUAUGUAACAUGUUAGUUACACGGUGAACCGGUUACUAUGUAACAUCUUAGUUACACAGUGAACAGGUUACUAUGUAACAUCUUAGUUACACAGUGAACAG
Molecule: long non-coding RNA, 510 nt
Organism: Gasterosteus aculeatus aculeatus (three-spined stickleback)
Lineage: Eukaryota; Metazoa; Chordata; Actinopteri; Perciformes; Gasterosteidae
Source: Ensembl